AAGUGCGUAGCUUGUGCGCACUCCAGCAUUUGGCUACAGGUACCCCAGCGAACGGAAAGCGGGACCGACACGUGAUUGAUACUGUAUUGUGUAAUAAUCCAGCACAUAACAAAUAUUUGAAACACGCAUUAUGCCGCCAUUCCUAACCUCUUCGCUCUCAUUUUCCAUCUCGCCCACUCCUAUCGGGUGUCUCCACCACAUCACACCAAAGAGUCUCCAAGACAGAGCUGGCCUUGAUGCUGGUGGUAGCUGGUUCACUGUAAACAUUCAUCGAAUGUGGAAUGCUCUGCCAGCAAGACAAUGGUUUACUGGCACAUGCGAAGGUAUACAUUUGCUGCUCAAGACUGGAAAAAUCUACAACAUCAUAAAUCGCCUGUUUGACUACAUCUUGAAGCUGCUUUAAAUUGCUGCAUUAUCUCUACAGUGUCAGUGAGUUCCACCACAUUUAGUAAAGUUUGUAUGCCGCGUCACGAUGGCCCAAUUUAUUUUCACGAAGUACGCGCUUUACGCAGUGGUGGUAAUUUGUUACACAAUAUGCUCAAAUUUCACAUCAUAAUAUCAACGUCAAGCUGCUUUGGCUUCAUUACUACCAAGCUUUUUUCGAAUGAGGAAUCUGCAUUCCAUAAGUGAUCAAUUGCGCUUAUUUGUAUUUUUAGAAUUAGGAGAAAUGAAAAGAACGUGCGUACUUAAAAGGCUAUUUGUUGUGGCAGUUACAUAUUUUAAUCAAUGCUCAGAAUUGGAAUUUCAAUGUUCCUAAAAUUUACAGUGAUGUUACUUUUCAACAAAAAAUCAUAUAACGCCGCUUGAUUGCUCCUAUUACGACACGUAAAGUAAUAAAAUUUGAAAUUCAUGACGCCAUUUUGAAAUUUACUUAUAUUUUAUGAGUAAAUUAUUAGAGUUCAGCAAAAGUUACAAGAACAAAAUGAAGUGCUUCGUGAAAACCGACAUUGUAUGCAUACGUUUGUACAAUUUAUGAGCUUAGUAGAUGUAAACUACAAAACUGAAUAACUGCUUUUUGUGCAUAGUUACAGUGGUAGUACUAUUGCUUGAAGUGAUUCAAAGUUGCCUGUACUUAUUAUUAUUUUUCUAGUUGGAAGCCGAAAUUAAAGGCCUUCACCGAGCAGUUGUUAGCAGUUCCUAAUUAAAAAAAGCUACAAACUUUAUUCAAAUAGGUGUGGGGUUUAUCAAAUGGCAAUUGGACCUUGCACUACAAUUGAAAGGGAGAACGAGGGGGUUGCUUUCUCAAGCUGCCUUCUAAGCUAUGCAACAUCUCUCGGGGAUAUAGCUAUUCUUUCUUUCACCAUUUUGUCGCCUACAUCGUGAAAAUUAAACACGUAGCAAGAAGCAACAGUGUGCAAAGCAUUGAUCAUUGCCAGGUGUACCCCCACUUUUAUUUGAUUGUCAGCAAAUGUUUAAAAAUUUCCUGGUGCAUGUAGUACACGAGGAAUAAGGAUUAUAAACAGGGAUAAGGUGCCUCAGAAAGGCUGGUCAACGUUUCGA
Long non-coding RNA from Dermacentor silvarum, 1500 nucleotides. RefSeq lists it as uncharacterized. NCBI's taxonomy places the organism in Eukaryota, Metazoa, Arthropoda, Arachnida, Ixodida, Ixodidae. The transcript has 3 exons. The record is from RefSeq and is a predicted model, not a curated record.